CGUGUAGGCGGCUCAUCAAGUCUGGUGUGAAAACGCAAGGCUUAACCUUGCGUAUGCGCUGGAAACUGGUGGGCUUGAGUUCCUGAGGGGAAGCUGGAAUUCCAGGUGUAGGAGUGAAAUCUGUAGAUAUCUGGAAGAACACCGGUGGCGAAGGCGAGCUUCUAUCAGAGGACUGACGCUGAGGCGCGAAAGCGUGGGGAGCAAACAGGAUUAGAUACCCUGGUAGUCCACGCUGUAAACGAUGUGCACUAGGCGUGGGGCCCGUACGGGUUCUGUGCCGUAGUUAACGUGUUAAGUGCACCGCCCGGGGAGUAUGCUCGCAAGGGUGAA
RNAcentral lists this ribosomal RNA (330 nucleotides) under uncultured bacterium. Its description in RNAcentral is "bacterial SSU rRNA". It matches the Rfam family "Bacterial small subunit ribosomal RNA", at positions 568 to 898 of the family's 1533-position model. The record is from RNAcentral.